Molecule: ribosomal RNA, 116 nt
Filed under: Pteropus alecto (black flying fox)
Lineage: Eukaryota; Metazoa; Chordata; Mammalia; Chiroptera; Pteropodidae
Source: RNAcentral
GUCUACAGCCAUGCCACCCUGAACAAGCCUGAUUCUGUCUGAUCUUGGAAGCUAAGCAGGGUCAGGCCUGGUUAGUACCUGAGUGGGAGACCACCUAGGAAGACCAGCUGUAGAUG